Long non-coding RNA from Xenia sp. Carnegie-2017, 462 nucleotides. RefSeq lists it as uncharacterized. The transcript has 2 exons. Lineage: Eukaryota; Metazoa; Cnidaria; Anthozoa; Malacalcyonacea; Xeniidae. The record is from RefSeq and is a predicted model, not a curated record.
GCCAGUAACUUGACGCUAGCGUACUAUAAAAUAAUAUUGGAAAAGUGCGAUUUUGGGAUAAUAAUCGCCUAAAACGCAAACUGCUUAGGAAGAUUAUGGAAUUUUGUGACAAAACGUGAAAGAAAUAAGUUGUUAUUUUGGCAUUCAGUUCUCAAGUGAGGAUUAUGUUGCAAGUGUCUUGUGUUAUGUAGUUUUAGUAUGUUGGAUUAGAUUUUAGUGGCUACUUGUUGCAGUAGCAUGUUAAACUUUGUUUGUUAAAUUCUAUUACGUUUUUAUUAUGAUUGGUUGGUUUUUGUAAGGGUGCUCUAUUAAACAUUGAUCACAACUUCUUCAGCUUAAUUGUUUAGUAUACCAAUAUUUAUAGAGAAAUUAGCAUUUCUUCUAUUGCUGUUAUUUUGUACAUAUUUUUCACUCAGAAAUGUCUUUAUCAAAAUAAGUUUCCAAUGUUAUUCAAUUCUCAAA